CCUACGGGUGGCAGCAGUGGGGAAUAUUGGGCAAUGGGCGCAAGCCUGACCCAGCAACGCCGCGUGAAGGAAGAAGGCUUUCGGGUUGUAAACUUCUUUUCUCAGGGACGAAGCAAGUGACGGUACCUGAGGAAUGAGCCACGGCUAACUACGUGCCAGCAGCCGCGGUAAUACGUAGGUGGCAAGCGUUAUCCGGAUUUACUGGGUGUAAAGGGCGUGUAGGCGGGAAAGCAAGUCAGAUGUGAAAACCAUGGGCUCAACCUGUGGCCUGCAUUUGAAACUGUUUUUCUUGAGUACUGGAGAGGCAGGCGGAAUGCCUAGUGUAGCGGUGAAAUGCGUAGAGAUUAGGAGGAACACCAGUGGCGAAGGCGGUCUGCUGGACAGCAACUGACGCUGAGGCGCGAAAGCGUGGGGAGCAAACAGGAUUAGAUACCCUUGUAGUC
RNAcentral lists this ribosomal RNA (443 nucleotides) under uncultured bacterium. RNAcentral describes it as "partial 16S ribosomal RNA". It matches the Rfam family "Bacterial small subunit ribosomal RNA", at positions 338 to 795 of the family's 1533-position model. The record is from RNAcentral.